GACGUAGGAUGCAAGCGUUGUCCGGAUUUAUUGGGCGUAAAGAGUUCGUAGGCGGUUUGUUAAGUUUGAUGUUAAAGAUCAAGGCUCAACCUUGGGAGUGCAUUGAAUACUGGCAGACUUGAGUGCAGUAGAGGCGAGUGGAAUUCUCGGUGUAGCGGUGAAAUGCGUAGAUAUUGGGAAGAACACCGGUGGCGCAGGCGGCUCGCUGGGCUGUAACUGACGCUGAGGAACGAAAGCUAGGGGAGCAAAUGGG
RNAcentral lists this ribosomal RNA (253 nucleotides) under uncultured prokaryote. RNAcentral's name for it is "partial 16S ribosomal RNA". It matches the Rfam family "Bacterial small subunit ribosomal RNA", at positions 524 to 776 of the family's 1533-position model. The record is from RNAcentral.